CAGAGCGUAGCUAAAUAGAUAGAGCACUUCCCUUACACCGAAGAGAUAUCCGUGCAAAUCGGAUCGCCCUGA
Molecule: transfer RNA, 72 nt
Filed under: Polyipnus polli
Lineage: Eukaryota; Metazoa; Chordata; Actinopteri; Stomiiformes; Sternoptychidae
Description: tRNA-Val
Rfam family: tRNA
About the family: Transfer RNA (tRNA) molecules are approximately 80 nucleotides in length. Their secondary structure includes four short double-helical elements and three loops (D, anti-codon, and T loops). Further hydrogen bonds mediate the characteristic L-shaped molecular structure. tRNAs have two regions of fundamental functional importance: the anti-codon, which is responsible for specific mRNA codon recognition, and the 3' end, to which the tRNAs corresponding amino acid is attached (by aminoacyl-tRNA synthetases). tRNAs cope with the degeneracy of the genetic code in two manners: having more than one tRNA (with a specific anti-codon) for a particular amino acid; and 'wobble' base-pairing, i.e. permitting non-standard base-pairing at the 3rd anti-codon position.
Source: RNAcentral